This is a long non-coding RNA of Camellia sinensis, 1285 nucleotides long. RefSeq lists it as uncharacterized. Lineage: Eukaryota; Viridiplantae; Streptophyta; Magnoliopsida; Ericales; Theaceae. The record is from RefSeq and is a predicted model, not a curated record.
AUAUGACCAAACUUAAUCCAUUUUUCAUGUCAGUAGGAAAUAAGGAAACACAAGGAAACAAAGCAAAAGUGAUGAAGCAAAAUCCCUAGAGCAGAUCGGGUUAGAGACAAAGAGGUGAAAGUCCAAUCCAACCAUUCUGAAAUUGAUGAAGCAAAUUUGAUUUGGGCGAGACAAAGAGGGAGGAGCCAAAUAAUGAAGCAAGGGUUUAUCAUUCUUCAUCUUUUAUACCAUCCUUAUCUACCAUCCACAACACAAAUUUGUUAUGAUUUCAUCUUCUACGAUCAGGGUUCAUUAGGUGACAUGUUAGGGCCAGCGCAUGGGGUAGGCAAGAAGCACUUUGUAGACGUAAUUCAACUCUGACAAUUUAAUUAAAUAGAAGCUCCAAUGAUUAUUUUGGAAACAAUGCAAUUCAAAAAUAGCAUUUGGAGAGUCUUAGACGCGGAGCUGUGGAAUAGACACACAUAGCACUUUUAUAGUAUUUAUAGUUUUAUUCUUCAUAUGUAAAUAUCAGCCUUUUUGGUCUAUAAAUUUUGUUUUAAAAAUAAAAUCUCCAAUGAUUAUUUUGGUACUCACACUUAAAUAUUUUUCUGCUCGCGUUUAGUAAUUUGUUUAAGAAUUGGCUGAAAGUAACUUCAGUUAUUAGCGAUCACGAUGCGUAAUCCUUGAGUACAGGGAACGGGUCGUGACAUAUAUAGUUUGCUUGCUUUUUCUGUUGAUUUCUGAUUACAUGGAUUGUCUUGGUGUUGCUUAUCUAUGGACAACUAUUGGUCAUGGUUACUGGAUUCGGGUUUGGUGGAGUGGUGGUGGUUGCAAGUUGUGCCCUUCCAAGAGGUUUAUUUCAACUGAUUCACAUGGGUUUGAACAUGUUGCUUGGUAGUGGUUGCAACCUGCGCCUUAUUAAGUAAUUUGUAUAGGUUUUCCUAGUGGUCAUCAUUUCUUUCCGUUUUAUGGUGUCACUGUCACUCUAGUUUUUUGUUCUAUUCCCUACAUCUACGGGUUUACGGGCUAUGUAAGAGGUUCUAUUUUCAUUUUGCUUGGGUUGGUAGGGUGAAUAGGGCUGUUGGUGUAGUGUUUUUAUGUUAUAUUUUGAUGUAUUUGAUGCCCAAUUGCUGCUACGAUUUUUGUGGUGUUGGCAGUUGGUUGUUGAAUCUUGUUCAGGCCCUAUAUCCACUGUGGACAUGGUGUUUGAACAGUUGUUUGGGUACAGGUGUUGUUACGUGGCUACCCUGUUUUGAUAUGGCUGGUGUUUCUUCUUAUUGUUGGCUACAUAGUGUUGACUACAUAG